GGUGAACGCUGGCGGUAGGCCUAACACAUGCAAGUCGAACGGCAGCACAGUAAGAGCUUGCUCUUACGGGUGGCGAGUGGCGGACGGGUGAGGAAUACAUCGGAAUCUACUUUUUCGUGGGGGAUAACGUAGGGAAACUUACGCUAAUACCGCAUACGACCUACGGGUGAAAGCAGGGGAUCUUCGGACCUUGCGCGAUUGAAUGAGCCGAUGUCGGAUUAGCUAGUUGGCGGUGUAAAGGCCCACCAAGGCGACGAUCCGUAGCUGGUCUGAGAGGAUGAUCAGCCACACUGGAACUGAGACACGGUCCAGACUCCUACGGGAGGCAGCAGUGGGGAAUAUUGGACAAUGGGCGCAAGCCUGAUCCAGCCAUACCGCGUGGGUGAAGAAGGCCUUCGGGUUGUAAAGCCCUUUUGUUGGGAAAGAAAAGCAGCAGGUUAAUACCCCGCUGUUCUGACGGUACCCAAAGAAUAAGCACCGGCUAACUUCGUG
RNAcentral lists this ribosomal RNA (492 nucleotides) under uncultured bacterium. RNAcentral describes it as "partial 16S ribosomal RNA". It matches the Rfam family "Bacterial small subunit ribosomal RNA", at positions 28 to 507 of the family's 1533-position model. The record is from RNAcentral.